This 253-nucleotide ribosomal RNA is filed under the name uncultured bacterium. RNAcentral's name for it is "partial 16S ribosomal RNA". It matches the Rfam family "Bacterial small subunit ribosomal RNA", at positions 524 to 776 of the family's 1533-position model. The record is from RNAcentral.
UACGUAGGGGGCUAGCGUUGUCCGGAAUCAUUGGGCGUAAAGCGCGUGUAGGCGGUCCGGUAAGUCCGCUGUGAAAGUCGAGGGCUCAACCCUCGAAUGCCGGUGGAUACUGUCGGGCUUGAGUACGGGAGAGGCGAGUGGAAUUCCUGGUGUAGCGGUGAAAUGCGCAGAUAUCAGGAGGAACACCCGUGGCGAAGGCGGGUCUCUGGGCCGAUACUGACGCUGAGGAGCGAAAGCGUGGGGAGCAAACAGG